AAAUCUGCCUUCAACACUGGGAUAACUCCGGGAAACCGGGGCUAAUACCGGAUAUGAAACCUGCGGGCAUCCGCGGGUUUGGAAAGUUUUUCGGUUGAAGAUGAUCUCGCGGCCUAUCAGCUUGUUGGUGAGGUAAUGGCUCACCAAGGCGACGACGGGUAGCCGGCCUGAGAGGGCGACCGGCCACACUGGGACUGAGACACGGCCCAGACUCCUACGGGAGGCAGCAGUGGGGAAUAUUGGGCAAUGGAGGAAACUCUGACCCAGCGACGCCGCGUGCGGGAUGAAGGCCUUCGGGUUGUAAACCGCUUUCAGCAGGGAAGAAGCGAAAGUGACGGUACCUGCAGAAGAAGCACCGGCUAACUAUGUGCCAGCAGCCGCGGUAAUACAUAGGGUGCAAGCGUUGUCCGGAAUUAUUGGGCGUAAAGAGCUCGUAGGUGGUUCGUCACGUCGGAUGUGAAACUCUGGGGCUUAACCCCAGACCUGCAUUCGAUACGGGCGAGCUUGAGUAUGGUAGGGGAGUCUGGAAUUCCUGGUGUAGCGGUGGAAUGCGCAGAUAUCAGGAGGAACACCAAUGGCGAAGGCAGGACUCUGGGCCAUUACUGACACUGAGGAGCGAAAGCGUGGGGAGCGAACAGGAUUAGAUACCCUGGUAGUCCACGCCGUAAACGGUGGGCACUAGUUGUGGGGACCUUCCACGGUCUCUGCGACGCAGCUAACGCAUUAAGUGCCCCGCCUGGGGAGUACGAUCGCAAGAUUAAAACUCAAAGGAAUUGAC
This 778-nucleotide ribosomal RNA is filed under the name uncultured Actinomycetes bacterium. RNAcentral's name for it is "bacterial SSU rRNA". It matches the Rfam family "Bacterial small subunit ribosomal RNA", at positions 122 to 914 of the family's 1533-position model. The record is from RNAcentral. Lineage: Bacteria; Bacillati; Actinomycetota; Actinomycetes.